GAUGAAGAACGUAGCGAAAUGCGAUAGGUAAUGUGAAUUGCAGAAUUCAGUGAAUCAUCGAAUCUUUGAACGCACAUUGCGCUCCUUGGUAUUCCGAGGGGCAUGCCUGUUCGAGCGUCAUUAUAACCCCUCAAGCUCAGCUUGGUGUUGGGGCCUGCUGCACUGGCAGCCCUUAAAAUCAGUGGCGGCGCCAUCUGGCUCUAAGCGUAGUAAUUCUUCUCGCUAUGGAGUCCUGGUGGAUGCUUGCCAUCAACCCCCAAUUUUUCUAUGGUUGACCUCGGAUCAGGUAGGGAUACCCGCUGAACUUAAGCAUAUCAAUAAGCGGAGGA
This 329-nucleotide unclassified non-coding RNA is filed under the name soil metagenome. RNAcentral describes it as "partial contains 5.8S ribosomal RNA, internal transcribed spacer 2, and large subunit ribosomal RNA". The stretch from base 1 to 120 matches the Rfam family "5.8S ribosomal RNA", at positions 35 to 154 of the family's 154-position model. The record is from RNAcentral.